This 1372-nucleotide ribosomal RNA is filed under the name uncultured bacterium. RNAcentral's name for it is "bacterial SSU rRNA". It matches the Rfam family "Bacterial small subunit ribosomal RNA", at positions 28 to 1381 of the family's 1533-position model. The record is from RNAcentral.
GAUGAACGCUGGCGGCGUGCCUAAUACAUGCAAGUCGAGCGAACGGACGAGAAGCUUGCUUCUCUGAUGUUAGCGGCGGACGGGCGAGUAACACGUGGAUAACCUACCUAUAAGACUGGGAUAACUUCGGGAAACCGGAGCUAAUACCGGAUAAUAUUUUGAACCGCAUGGUUCAAAAGUGAAAGACGGUCUUGCUGUCACUUAUAGAUGGAUCCGCGCUGCAUUAGCUAGUUGGUAAGGUAACGGCUUACCAAGGCAACGAUGCAUAGCCGACCUGAGAGGGUGAUCGGCCACACUGGAACUGAGACACGGUCCAGACUCCUACGGGAGGCAGCAGUAGGGAAUCUUCCGCAAUGGGCGAAAGCCUGACGGAGCAACGCCGCGUGAGUGAUGAAGGUCUUCGGAUCGUAAAACUCUGUUAUUAGGGAAGAACAUAUGUGUAAGUAACUGUGCACAUCUUGACGGUACCUAAUCAGAAAGCCACGGCUAACUACGUGCCAGCAGCCGCGGUAAUACGUAGGUGGCAAGCGUUAUCCGGAAUUAUUGGGCGUAAAGCGCGCGUAGGCGGUUUUUUAAGUCUGAUGUGAAAGCCCACGGCUCAACCGUGGAGGGUCAUUGGAAACUGGAAAACUUGAGUGCAGAAGAGGAAAGUGGAAUUCCAUGUGUAGCGGUGAAAUGCGCAGAGAUAUGGAGGAACACCAGUGGCGAAGGCGACUUUCUGGUCUGUAACUGACGCUGAUGUGCGAAAGCGUGGGGAUCAAACAGGAUUAGAUACCCUGGUAGUCCACGCCGUAAACGAUGAGUGCUAAGUGUUAGGGGGUUUCCGCCCCUUAGUGCUGCAGCUAACGCAUUAAGCACUCCGCCUGGGGAGUACGACCGCAAGGUUGAAACUCAAAGGAAUUGACGGGGACCCGCACAAGCGGUGGAGCAUGUGGUUUAAUUCGAAGCAACGCGAAGAACCUUACCAAAUCUUGACAUCCUUUGACAACUCUAGAGAUAGAGCCUUCCCCUUCGGGGGACAAAGUGACAGGUGGUGCAUGGUUGUCGUCAGCUCGUGUCGUGAGAUGUUGGGUUAAGUCCCGCAACGAGCGCAACCCUUAAGCUUAGUUGCCAUCAUUAAGUUGGGCACUCUAAGUUGACUGCCGGUGACAAACCGGAGGAAGGUGGGGAUGACGUCAAAUCAUCAUGCCCCUUGUGAUUUGGGCUACACACGUGCUACAAUGGACAAUACAAAGGGCAGCGAAACCGCGAGGUCAAGCAAAUCCCAUAAAGUUGUUCUCAGUUCGGAUUGUAGUCUGCAACUCGACUACAUGAAGCUGGAAUCGCUAGUAAUCGUAGAUCAGCAUGCUACGGUGAAUACGUUCCCGGGUCU